GAAGUUUUAGUUAAAUAUAUAACAUUAUCCUGUCAAAAUAAAGUUAUCUAAUUAUAUAUAGAUAUACUUCU
This 71-nucleotide transfer RNA is filed under the name Eurycotis opaca. Its description in RNAcentral is "tRNA-Asp". The record is from RNAcentral. Lineage: Eukaryota; Metazoa; Arthropoda; Insecta; Blattodea; Blattidae.